This 266-nucleotide ribosomal RNA is filed under the name Buttiauxella gaviniae. RNAcentral's name for it is "partial 16S ribosomal RNA". It matches the Rfam family "Bacterial small subunit ribosomal RNA", at positions 517 to 782 of the family's 1533-position model. The record is from RNAcentral. Lineage: Bacteria; Pseudomonadati; Pseudomonadota; Gammaproteobacteria; Enterobacterales; Enterobacteriaceae.
GCGGUAAUACGGAGGGUGCAAGCGUUAAUCGGAAUUACUGGGCGUAAAGCGCACGCAGGCGGUUUGUCAAGUCGGAUGUGAAAUCCCCGGGCUCAACCUGGGAACUGCAUUCGAAACUGGCAAGCUAGAGUCUUGUAGAGGGGGGUAGAAUUCCAGGUGUAGCGGUGAAAUGCGUAGAGAUCUGGAGGAAUACCGGUGGCGAAGGCGGCCCCCUGGACAAAGACUGACGCUCAGGUGCGAAAGCGUGGGGAGCAAACAGGAUUAGA